RNAcentral lists this ribosomal RNA (253 nucleotides) under uncultured bacterium. RNAcentral's name for it is "partial 16S ribosomal RNA". It matches the Rfam family "Bacterial small subunit ribosomal RNA", at positions 524 to 776 of the family's 1533-position model. The record is from RNAcentral.
UACAGAGGGUGCAAGCGUUAAUCGGAAUUACUGGGCGUAAAGCGUGCGUAGACGGUUACAUAAGUCAGAUGUGAAAGCCCCGGGCUCAACCUGGGAACUGCAUCUGAUACUGGAUGGCUUGAGUUCGGGAGAGGGAUGCGGAAUUCCAGGUGUAGCGGUGAAAUGCGUAGAUAUCUGGAGGAACACCGGUGGCGAAGGCGGCAUCCUGGACCGACACUGACGCUGAGGAGCGAAAGCCAGGGGAGCAAACGGG